ACGCUAGCGGCAGGCCUAACACAUGCAAGUCGAGGGAGGAGCUUUCGGGCUUCGACCGGCGAACGGGUGCGUAACGCGUAUACAAUCUGCCUUUCACAUAGGGAUAGCCCGAAGAAAUUUGGAUUAAUACCUAAUGGCAUAUAGGGGUGGCAUCACCUUUAUAUUAAAGCUGAGGCGGUGAAAGAUGAGUAUGCGUUCUAUUAGCUAGUUGGAGAGGUAACGGCUCCCCAAGGCUACGAUAGAUAGGGGUUCUGAGAGGGAUAUCCCCCACACUGGUACUGAGAUACGGACCAGACUCCUACGGGAGGCAGCAGUGAGGAAUAUUGGACAAUGGUCGGAAGACUGAUCCAGCCAUGCCGCGUGCAGGAAGACGGCCUUAUGGGUUGUAAACUGCUUUUGCAGGGGAAGAAUAAGGACUACGAGUAGUUUGAUGACGGUACUCUGCGAAUAAGCAUCGGCUAACUCCGUGCCAGCAGCCGCGGUAAUACGGAGGAUGCGAGCGUUAUCCGGAAUCAUUGGGUUUAAAGGGUCCGUAGGCGGGCUAAUAAGUCAGAGGUGAAAGCGCUCAGCUCAACUGAGCAACUGCCUUUGAAACUGUUAGUCUUGAAUGGUUGUGAAGUAGUUGGAAUGUGUAGUGUAGCGGUGAAAUGCUUAGAUAUUACACAGAACACCGAUAGCGAAGGCAUAUUACUAACAAUUAAUUGACGCUGAUGGACGAAAGCGUGGGGAGCGAACAGGAUUAGAUACCCUGGUAGUCCACGCUGUAAACGAUGGAUACUAGCUGUUUGGUUGUAAGACUGAGUGGCUAAGCGAAAGUGAUAAGUAUCCCACCUGGGGAGUACGCACGCAAGUGUGAAACUCAAAGGAAUUGACGGGGGCCCGCACAAGCGGUGGAGCAUGUGGUUUAAU
This 909-nucleotide ribosomal RNA is filed under the name uncultured bacterium. RNAcentral describes it as "bacterial SSU rRNA". It matches the Rfam family "Bacterial small subunit ribosomal RNA", at positions 33 to 950 of the family's 1533-position model. The record is from RNAcentral.